Molecule: ribosomal RNA, 439 nt
Filed under: uncultured bacterium
Lineage: Bacteria
Description: partial 16S ribosomal RNA
Rfam family: Bacterial small subunit ribosomal RNA
Source: RNAcentral
CCUACGGGAGGCAGCAGUGGGGGAUAUUGCACAAUGGGGGCAACCCUGAUGCAGCGAUGCCGCGUGAAUGAAGACGGCCUUCGGGUUUUAAAGUUCUUUCGCAGGGGACAAAAAGUACGGUACCCUUCAAGAAAGCUACGGCUAACUACGUUCCGGCACCCCCGGUAAUACGUAGGGAGCAGGCGUUGUCCGGAAUUACUGGGGGUAAUGGGGGCGUAGGCGGUAGGAUAAGUUGAAUGUGAACUCUAUGGGCUCAACCAAUAACUGCGUUCAAAACUGUUCUUCUUGAGUGAAGUAGAGGCAGGCGGAAUUCCUAGUGUAGCGGUGAAAUGCGUAGAUAUUAGGAGGAACACCAGUGGCGAAGGCAGCCUGCUGGGCUUUUACUGACGCUGAGGCUCGAAAGCGUGGGUAGCAAACAGGAUUAGAUACCCGAGUAGUC